RNAcentral lists this ribosomal RNA (253 nucleotides) under uncultured bacterium. RNAcentral describes it as "partial 16S ribosomal RNA". It matches the Rfam family "Bacterial small subunit ribosomal RNA", at positions 524 to 776 of the family's 1533-position model. The record is from RNAcentral.
UACAGAGGGGGCAAGCGUUGUUCGGAAUUACUGGGCGUAAAGGGCGCGUAGGCGGCCUGUUAAGUCGAACGUGAAAUCCCCGGGCUCAACCCGGGAACUGCGUCCGAUACUGGCAGGCUUGAAUUCGGGAGAGGGAUGCGGAAUUCCAGGUGUAGCGGUGAAAUGCGUAGAUAUCUGGAGGAACACCGGUGGCGAAGGCGGCAUCCUGGACCGACACUGACGCUGAGGAGCGAAAGCCAGGGGAGCAAACGGG